GUGCCAGCAGCCGCGGUAACACCGGCAUCUCUAGUGGUAGCCAUUUUUAUUGGGCCUAAAGCGUUCGUAGCCGGUUUGAUAAGUCUCUGGUGAAAUCCUAUAGCUUAACUGUGGGACUUGCUGGAGAUACUAUUAGACUUGAUGUCGGGAGAGGUUAGCGGUACUCCCAGGGUAGGGGGGAAAGCCUGUAAUCCUGGGAGGACCACCGGUGGCGAAGGCGGCUAACUGGAACGAACCUGACGUUGAGGGACGAAAGCCAGGGGCGCGAACCGGUUUAGUUCCCCGGGUAUUCCUGGCCGUA
This 301-nucleotide ribosomal RNA is filed under the name uncultured archaeon. RNAcentral's name for it is "bacterial SSU rRNA". It matches the Rfam family "Archaeal small subunit ribosomal RNA", at positions 455 to 755 of the family's 1478-position model. The record is from RNAcentral.